GCGCCCGUAGCUCAACGGAUAGAGCAUCUGACUACGGAUCAGAAGGUUGGGGGUUCGAAUCCCUCCGGGCGCACUA
Molecule: transfer RNA, 76 nt
Filed under: Corynebacterium ulcerans
Lineage: Bacteria; Bacillati; Actinomycetota; Actinomycetes; Mycobacteriales; Corynebacteriaceae
Also listed under: 1 other name
Description: tRNA-Arg
Rfam family: tRNA
About the family: Transfer RNA (tRNA) molecules are approximately 80 nucleotides in length.
Source: RNAcentral